This 465-nucleotide ribosomal RNA is filed under the name Vreelandella stevensii. RNAcentral's name for it is "partial 16S ribosomal RNA". It matches the Rfam family "Bacterial small subunit ribosomal RNA", at positions 338 to 795 of the family's 1533-position model. The record is from RNAcentral. Lineage: Bacteria; Pseudomonadati; Pseudomonadota; Gammaproteobacteria; Oceanospirillales; Halomonadaceae.
CCUAUGGGCGGCAGCAGUGGGGAAUAUUGGACAAUGGGGGGAACCCUGAUCCAGCCAUGCCGCGUGUGUGAAGAAGGCCCUCGGGUUGUAAAGCACUUUCAGUGAGGAAGAACGCCUGGUGGUUAAUACCCAUCAGGAAAGACAUCACUCACAGAAGAAGCACCGGCUAACUCCGUGCCAGCAGCCGCGGUAAUACGGAGGGUGCGAGCGUUAAUCGGAAUUACUGGGCGUAAAGCGCGCGUAGGUGGCUUGAUAAGCCGGUUGUGAAAGCCCCGGGCUCAACCUGGGAACGGCAUCCGGAACUGUCAAGCUAGAGUGCAGGAGAGGAAGGUAGAAUUCCCGGUGUAGCGGUGAAAUGCGUAGAGAUCGGGAGGAAUACCAGUGGCGAAGGCGGCCUUCUGGACUGACACUGACACUGAGGUGCGAAAGCGUGGGUAGCAAACAGGAUUAGAUACCCGUGUAGUC